UACGUAGGCAGCGAGCGUUGUUCGGAGUUACUGGGCGUAAAGAGCUCGUAGGUGGUUUGUCGCGUUGUUCGUGAAAACUCACAGCUUAACUGUGGGCGUGCGGGCGAUACGGGCAGACUGGAGUACUGCAGGGGAGACUGGAAUUCCUGGUGUAGCGGUGAAAUGCGUAGAUAUCUGGAGGAACACCGGUGGCGAAGGCGGCAUCCUGGACCAUUACUGACACUGAAACGCGAAAGCCAGGGGAGCAAACGGG
RNAcentral lists this ribosomal RNA (253 nucleotides) under uncultured bacterium. RNAcentral's name for it is "partial 16S ribosomal RNA". It matches the Rfam family "Bacterial small subunit ribosomal RNA", at positions 524 to 776 of the family's 1533-position model. The record is from RNAcentral.